AACUUUCUGAAAAUUCCCCACAAUUCCCCCCCCCCAAAAAAAAUCACAAAAAAUCCCAAAAUUUCCCCAAAAAUCCCCAAAUUUCCCCCAAAUUUCCCGGAUUUCCCCCCUUACCUGGGCUCGGAUCCGGGGCUUCAGCAGGAGCCAUUUGGGGUUUUCUAUACGGGAUUUUCUAUAGGGAAACUUGGGAUUUUCUAUAGGGGAUUUGGGAUUUUCCAUAGGGGAAUUUCUAUAGGGGAUUUGGGUUUUUUUUCUAUAGGGGAUUUGGGGUUUUCUACAAGGGAUUUUCUAUAGGAGAACUGGGAUUUUCUAUAGGGGAAAUUUCAGAUUUUCCAUAGGGGAAUUUCUAUAGGGGAUUUGGGGUUUUUUUCCAUAGGGGAUUUGGGAUCCCCUAUAGAGAAAUUUGGGAUUUUCCAUAGGGGAAUUUGGGAUCCUCUAAAGAGGAUUUAGGAUUUUCCAUCAGGGAUUUUCUAUAGGGGAAACUGGGGUUUUCUACAGGGAAAUUUGGGAUUUUCCAUAGGGGAAUUUCUAUAGGGGAUUUGGGAUUUUCCAUACAAGAUUUGAGAUCGCCUACAGAGAUUCAGGUGUCUCUAUAGGGGAUUUAGGUGCCACUAGGACCUCCUAUAGAAUGGGUAAAAUUCCCCUAUAGAAUAAGUAGGGUCCCCUAUAAAAUGUACAGAAUCCCCUAUGGAAUGUGCAGGGUCCCCUGUAGGAUCCCCUAUAGAAGCCCCCAUGGGAUCCCCUAUAGGGUGUGUAGGGGCCGGUGUGUGCCGGGGCCGUGGCGGAUCCCCCGCGGGGUCCCCCACAGGAGCAGGGUCCCCUAUGGGAUCCAUACGGCCCCGGCCGUAGGUGACCCCGGCCUUGCUGUGGCCUCGGCCCCCGGGGGCAGCGCACGGCAUAGCGCCCCCCGCUGGGGGAUGGGGCCCCUAUGGAGCCCCUAUGGAUCCUCUAUGGAUCAGCUAUUGGAGCCCCUAGAGAUACCCUAUAGAUCCCCCAUGGGUCAGCUAUGGAUCCUCUAUGGGUCAGCUAUGGAUCAGGUAUGGGGGCCCCUAUGGAUACCCUAUAGAUCCCCCAUGGAUCCCCUAUGGGAGCCCCUAUGGAUCCCCCAUGGAUCAUCUAUGGGAGCCCCUAGAGAUACCCUACAGAUCCUCAAUGGAUCCCCUAUGGGAGCCCCAUGGAUCCCCCAUGGAUCAGGUAUGGGGGCCCCUACAGAUCCCCUAUGGAUCAGCUAUGGAUCCCCUAUGGGAGCCCCUUUGGAUCCCCUAUGGAUUCCCCAUGGAUCCCCUAUAGAUCCCUUAUAGAUCCCCUAUGGAUCAGCUAUGGAUCCCCUAUGGGAGCCCCUUUGGAUCCCCUAUGGAUUCCCCAUGGAUCCCCUAUAGAUCCCCCUAUGGAUCCCUUAUAGAUCCCCUAUAGAUCAUCUAUGGGACCCCUAUGGAAUCAUUAUGGGGACUCAGGGAAUCCCCUGUGGGAUCCCCUAUGGAUCCCUUAUAGAUCCCCUAUGGGAGCCCUGCAGACCCCCUAUGGAAUCCCCUAUGGAUGCCUCUGGGUCCCCUAUAGAUCCCUGUGAAUCCCCCCAGGGAAUCCCCUAUGGAUCCCCUAUAGAAUCCCACAGACCCCUCCCCAAAAAGGAUCCCAGGGAGGGGCUGGGCAGCACCUACAGAGCCCCUAUAGGGCCCCAGUGACCCCUACAGAGCCCCCAUGUCCCCUAUAGGGUCCCCAUGUCCCCUAUAGGGCCCCUGAACCCCCUCCCCAAAGUCACCAAAUCCCCCUACAGAGCCCCUAUAGGGCCCCAGUGACCCCUAUAGAGCCCCCAUGUCCCCUAUAGGGCCCCAGUGACCCCUAUAGAGCCCCCAUGUCCCCUAUAGGGUCCCCAUGUCCCCUAUGGGGUCACCAUGUCCCCUAUAGGGCCCCUGAACCCCCCCCCAAAGUCACCAAAUCCCCCUACAGAGCCCCUAUAGGGCCCCAGUGACCCCUAUAGAACCCUUACGGUCCCAUACAGGACCCCUAUAGGGCCCCAGUGUCCCCUAUGGAACCCCUAAACCAC
Molecule: long non-coding RNA, 2044 nt
Organism: Camarhynchus parvulus
Lineage: Eukaryota; Metazoa; Chordata; Aves; Passeriformes; Thraupidae
Source: Ensembl